CUGGCUUCUGUCUUCAUUUAUCCUGAUCUCUGGCAUCCCUUGACUUCGGCUACACUUCGUUAAUCCUGACCUCUGGCAUCAUUUGACUUUGGCUACCCAUUGACUAUCCUGCUGUUUGUGUCCUUGUCGGUACUGCAUUGGAAUCACCUUUCCUGCACAGCCCCUGUGCACAGAUUUAUAGUCCAGGUGGCUUCUUAUCUGGUCACCUUGGACUGUGUCUAUCUGCAAGGGUGAGCAACAUAUCUGCGCUACAGACUCCCACCUCAGGUAAGAACCCCUGACAGCAAGAAUAUAUAUAUGCUGGUCCUGAGUCUAUU
Molecule: non-coding RNA, 317 nt
Organism: Pelobates cultripes (western spadefoot toad)
Lineage: Eukaryota; Metazoa; Chordata; Amphibia; Anura; Pelobatidae
Source: the annotation of a GenBank genome assembly